UUUUCUUCUUUACUCACGAGCGGGCCCCACUGCCACGUCGUCCUCAUCAAGCUUCAGCCCAAGUUAAAACGCACGCACGAAACAGCAUAGUGUUUCCGUUUUCUGGCGUUUUUACUCCAAUUGGUUCCCAGUGAUUUACUACACCAAUUAAUGCACCGUUUGUUGCUACUUAAGCCUCUCUUACUCCUCUUCAUUUCCCCUCAAACCACACAGACCGAGAGCCUCCAGGCUGCUCAAAUUUUGCCUCGCAAUUCUGCGGUACCGUUGCAUUAAAUCGUCGAUUACGCGCUAUCUUCGUCCGUGAGCACGUCCGCGGGACAGUUUUCCGGCGAGCGAUUUCCGGCGAAACAGUGCACCUCGACGUCCGCCACUUCUUCAUCGAUUUCGUCUUGUCAAACAGCGCCGUGGUUUGCUUCACCAUCGGCAGAGAUCUUCGAGGAAGCUCCACGGACAUCAACCAUCGAAAGUCAACUACACCUAGCUGUCUCUGUUCCCGUGGAUUGUGGUUGUGCUAAUUACAACGAGUGUUUUUGCGAAGAGUGUACCAACUCCUCCUCUCACCAAGGCAAGU
Molecule: non-coding RNA, 571 nt
Organism: Lolium perenne
Lineage: Eukaryota; Viridiplantae; Streptophyta; Magnoliopsida; Poales; Poaceae
Source: RefSeq, a predicted model, not a curated record